This 274-nucleotide ribosomal RNA is filed under the name uncultured bacterium. Its description in RNAcentral is "partial 16S ribosomal RNA". It matches the Rfam family "Archaeal small subunit ribosomal RNA", at positions 473 to 747 of the family's 1478-position model. The record is from RNAcentral.
AAACCAGCACCUCAAGUGGUCAGGAUGAUUAUUGGGCCUAAAGCAUCCGUAGCCUGCUCUGUAAGUUUUCGGUUAAAUCUGUAUGCUCAACAUACAGGCUGCCGAAAAUACUGUAGAACUAGGGAGUGGGAGAGGUAGACGGUACUCGGGAGGAAGGGGUAAAAUCCUUUGAUCUCUCGAUGACCACCUGUGGCGAAGGCGGUCUACCAGAACACGUCCGACGGUGAGGGAUGAAAGCUGGGGGAGCAAACCGGAUUAGAUACCCGAGUAGUCC